Molecule: long non-coding RNA, 883 nt
Organism: Macrobrachium nipponense
Lineage: Eukaryota; Metazoa; Arthropoda; Malacostraca; Decapoda; Palaemonidae
Exons: 3
Source: RefSeq, a predicted model, not a curated record
CCUGCUGCCAUAGUUAUGAUCAGCAAAUUGUUGACUCCUCCUCUUUUUGUUGUUUACGAGGAAACUUCGAGAUCGGUGAAUGCGUGAGAAGUCAGUACUAGCAGUCCAAGCAGUCUCAGCAGUCGAGGCAGUUCUGCCAGUCCGGUCAGUCCGGGCGGUCCUGUCAGAGCAUUAGGGCAGGGAGCUAUCCUGUAGGACCCCACCACAUACCCGUAUGCCAUUGAGCCCGUCUUCCAUCGUCAGAGUGAGUCUGUCUUCCUGGAGGAUGUCUUGGACGAGGCUCUGAGAAUGUUAUUAAGAAUCAAGGGUCCCUCAAGAGGCAUUUGUGAAGUAUUCCCUUGGUUCCAUAAUUUGGACGGCGUAAUUGGUGGCCACCUGGAUGUGCUCUGCCUCCUACGACUGAUUUGUUCAUCAUCGUCUCGACUUUGAUUCACCUUAGUGGAUGAUUUGUGGAGAAAAGUCACGUUCUCCUAAGCAUUGACUUCAAUCCCUUCUUGCUCGGAUGGACUACGGUGAGUACCAAGUAUUUUUUGGGGCAAAUGCUGAAUGGUAAUCGUAACAAUCUCUUUGAGCCUUUGUCGCUGCCUAUUAAAGUCCUUCCUACCUGCCAUCGGUAGAGUACGGAUAUUCACGAAUGUUUAAUAGUUAUAAAGGAUUUCUCUUGUCCUUACAGUGGUUUCGCAACUCUACUGAAGGUUGUUCAUGGGUUUAUUGUACAUAGUGGAUAGGAUUAUCCAGCCUUGAUUUGGUUGUCAUACUUGGUUUUUCUUGUCUUGACCUACUUACAGUAAGGUAUGGAGGAGAAGCUGAUUAUUGAAGAGGAAGAGCCCUGUGUCAUGCACUUGACACAUUUGCAAUAAAUAAUAAAUUUAAACAUUUCAAA